ACGGUUAACGGGGAAUUAGGGUUUUAUACCGGACAGGGAGCCUGAGAGAUUGCUCCCACGUCCAUGGACGGCAGCAGGCGCGAAAAUUGCCCACUCUUUGCAGGAGGCAGUUAUGAGACGUGAAGAGGAAUGUUUGGUAAAGAGAAACAGGAGAAUUGGAGGGCAAGUUUGGUGCCAGCAGCCGCGGUAAUACCGACUCCAAGAGUGUGUAUGAGAGAUGCUGCAGUUAAAAAGUCCGUAGUCUUAGAAGUGUAAAUUGGGGCGCUUGUGCCAGAUAGAUAUGAUGGAGGAGCCAAUGGGGAACAUAGUAUACCAGGGCGAGAGAUGAAAUGCCUAGACCCCUGGUGGACUGAGCGAGGCGAAAGCGAUGUUCUUGUGGGUGUUUGAUGAUCAAGGACGAAGGCUGGAGGAUCGAAAGUGAUUAGAUACCGCAGUAGUUCCAGCAGUAAAAGAUGCCGACAUGUGGACUGGCAACAGUUGACAGGGAGAAAUCUUAGAGUUCGGGCUCUGGGGAUAGUAUGCUCGCAAGAGU
RNAcentral lists this ribosomal RNA (532 nucleotides) under cf. Cystosporogenes sp. HEM-2006B. RNAcentral's name for it is "bacterial SSU rRNA". It matches the Rfam family "Microsporidia small subunit ribosomal RNA", at positions 214 to 772 of the family's 1311-position model. Lineage: Eukaryota; Fungi; Microsporidia; Glugeidae. The record is from RNAcentral.